Transfer RNA from Botryobasidium botryosum FD-172 SS1, 97 nucleotides. It matches the Rfam family "tRNA". Rfam says of the family: Transfer RNA (tRNA) molecules are approximately 80 nucleotides in length. Their secondary structure includes four short double-helical elements and three loops (D, anti-codon, and T loops). Further hydrogen bonds mediate the characteristic L-shaped molecular structure. tRNAs have two regions of fundamental functional importance: the anti-codon, which is responsible for specific mRNA codon recognition, and the 3' end, to which the tRNAs corresponding amino acid is attached (by aminoacyl-tRNA synthetases). tRNAs cope with the degeneracy of the genetic code in two manners: having more than one tRNA (with a specific anti-codon) for a particular amino acid; and 'wobble' base-pairing, i.e. permitting non-standard base-pairing at the 3rd anti-codon position. Lineage: Eukaryota; Fungi; Basidiomycota; Agaricomycetes; Cantharellales; Botryobasidiaceae. The record is from Rfam.
GCCCGCCUAGCUCAAUCGGAUAGAGCGUCAGACUCUUACUAGGCGAAUCGGCUUACAAGGCAUCUGAAGGCUGCGAGUUCGACCCUCGCGGUGGGCU